Long non-coding RNA from Passer domesticus (house sparrow), 1885 nucleotides. RefSeq lists it as uncharacterized. The record is from RefSeq and is a predicted model, not a curated record. NCBI's taxonomy places the organism in Eukaryota, Metazoa, Chordata, Aves, Passeriformes, Passeridae. The transcript has 2 exons.
CAGGGGAUGGGGACACUCCGGGGUGACCUUAUCCCACACCAGCAGGGAGCCCUGAGGAGGCUGGAGAGGGACUUUGGGCAUCAGGUGAUAGGCAAAAGGGGAAUGGCUGCACACCAAGAGAGAGUAGGUUCAGGUUGGAUUACAGGACAAAAUGAUGGUGGUGGAACAGGCUGCUCAAAGAAGCUGUGGAUGGAAUGGUUCAAGGCCAGCUUGGAGCAGCCUGGGAUGGUGGAAGGUGUCCUUGCCUGUGGUGAGGGGGGUGAGGUUGGAACUGGAUGUUCUUUGAUGUCUGUUCCAACCCAAACUGUUUGUGAUUCUAUGAAAACCUGCGUCCUGCCUCUCCAGGGGCACCCCCAGCCCUUUUCCUCCUGCCUGUGCCCCCAUUUUCUUUAUUGCUCCUGAUGCACCCACAGCAAUGAGGGCACAGCAGAAGGGAGGCUGUGAGACUCCAAAAAUAAAGGACAGGGUCUGCCUUCAUUUAAUUUAAAAAAUCACAGCCACAGACUUCUCUAAGGGAUCCCUGCCCCCUAAGUGCUGUUCUGAGAGCUUUAACAGAGGCCAGGGAGGGAUCUGACCAUCUGCAAGCCAUCCCCCCAGCUUGGUCAGUCUUGGCUUGGACUCAGUUAUCUCAGAGGCCUUUUCCAAUCUGAUUGAUUCUGAUUUUGGCUCUGAUUCAGCUGCAAGUUGCUUCCCCCCACCAUCAUCAGCCCCUUCUACUAAGCCCAAAUUACAACCCCUCUUACAGCCCUCCUCACCUUCAAGCCUUCAGCUCCCAGCACACAUUUUCUUCCCCAGCGCUGGAGGGAUUUCUCUUGCAUGAGCUCCCAGCUCUCUGUUGCUCCUCUUCUCCCCCAGGAAAAGUUCCCUCUGGGUGUCCUCAUCCAUCCCAGCAGGGACAGGGCCCACCCACACCACACAUCUGGAAGAUGCCUCUACCCCAGGCCAGACAGAGGUUUAGUCUGCAUUUGCCCUUUCUCCAUCCUGGCAGGAUUUAGGAUAGUUGGGAAUGCAGGCUGGGAAGUGUUUUAGGACAUUUGGAUCAGCUGGGCUGUUCUGGACGAGGUACCCAGGUGACAGAUUGAAAUCUGCAGAGAUUUCGAAAGAAGCUUUGGAACCACAUCCUGCACCUUCAUCCAUUGCAGAGAGGACAAAAACAUCAUUCUCAAGUGGCACCAGCCUGGAGACUGUCCAAGAGACUUGAUGGACUUGGAGAUGUAGACUCUUGAACACCACAGAUCUCAAGGGCCAGGAUGCCACUGCCUUCCCUGCAAUCACUGAGAGGGGUUGCCACGGACUGGGUACAAGCCCUGAGAGAUUUGAUGAACAAUACAGCCAAAACAAAACCACAAAAUAUGGAACACCCCCAGUCUGUCUCACCAUGAGCCUAAAGGACUGUAAAUUUAAAGACACAAUACAGAUCCUAACUCCUUAUGUUACAGAAGCAGACUGCUCUAGAGGGCUUAAGGGUGCCCAGCAUACCCUCCACAACUGCUCCAAAAACUUCCCCAAAACCUAUAAAAUCAACUCUGAACAUUUCAAGGUCAGAUUGGUUGAACAACAAAUACUGUUUAAUCCUAGUCCUUAAAGAGAUGCAGACCAAUGUUUCUGCUAUCAGACCAAAAUGUUCAUCUUUUACAGGUACCUCCUCUGCUGGGUGGUUUUCCUGGUAAACCAGAGGUUGUUACCUCACACAUCUAACUGAUAUAUUGGGAACUGGAAUAGGAGUAUUGAACAAUAUUAGUCUUGAAACUCUGACUGCUCAAUUGGGUGCAACCAUUAAUAAUUUGAACACUACAGAUCAACCCUGAAGGUCUUCCUUAUCUGCUCUUAGAAACACACAGUGAUCAGCUUCAAAUAUCAAAAAUAUCCACAUGUUAAUGACCAA